Molecule: ribosomal RNA, 388 nt
Filed under: uncultured bacterium
Lineage: Bacteria
Description: bacterial SSU rRNA
Rfam family: Bacterial small subunit ribosomal RNA
Source: RNAcentral
GACGAACGCUGGCGGCGUGCUUAACACAUGCAAGUCGAGCGGUAAGGCCCUUUCGGGGGUACACGAGCGGCGAACGGGUGAGUAACACGUGAGCAAUCUGCCCUUCACAUCGGGAUAACUUCGGGAAACCGAAGCUAAUACCGAAUACGACCACCGAUGGCAUCUUCUGGUGGUGGAAAGUUCCGGCGGUGAAGGAUGAGCUCGCGGCCUAUCAGCUUGUUGGUGGGGUAAUGGCCUACCAAGGCGACGACGGGUAGCCGGCCUGAGAGGGUGACCGGCCACACUGGGACUGAGACACGGCCCAGACUCCUACGGGAGGCAGCAGUGGGGAAUAUUGGACAAUGGGCGAAAGCCUGAUCCAGCAACGCCGCGUGAGGGAUGACGGCCU